GUAGCCCCUCCAGCUUCCUCUGCAGCACUCCUGAGCUGCAAAAGCACUAUGAACAGCUUGUGAAGUCUAAGGAUCAGGUCUGGUCUCCUAAGCUUGAAACCAUUUCCGAAUACAGGAUUAGGUUUUCGCCAUGCAGAUUCAUUGAGUGGAAAGAAAAAGAAAAGCCUGCUGAAUUUUUUACUAGAUAGUUCAUUCUUGAUUAUUAACACCAGAUUGUACACUCAUUUAUAGACCAUAUACAGAUUAAUUAUAUUUCUGGCCAUAACUUUUCCUCAUUCAUUUUACAAUUUUGAGAAAUGGGUGUUUCUUUUUCACUUUUUCUAGACCUGUGUUAAGUACUUUUCUUACAAAGCCGAGAAGCUUCAACUUAUGGACUAAACUUGCAAUAAUUGCUCCGUGAUUCUGAGUCGUGUUUAAAUAUUUUAUACACUGUGUACUAUACUAACUACAUAUUCAUUUGUAUUAUAGGUACUGCAAGUUGAAUUUUUUUUGCUGCAGAUUAGUUUAAAAAAUUGAGAUUAAAGAUUACAAAUUCUUUAUCUUCUUUCCUCUAUCAUAUUAUUACAUUUCACUCUAUUUUUCUCCUGUCUCUUCUUAUUUAUUGUAAAUAUAAACUAAUUAUGGAUUUUAUUAUGUCAUCUAUUUCGUCUAUUUUAUCCAAUUUUUAUGUAGCUAUAUGUUACAUACAGAUCAGCAUAUACUGGUGUGAGUGGAAGCAACAAGGUAAGACAUGAAUGUGCCUAAUGUCUGUGUAUAUAUAUGUACACACACCUUCAUAUACAAUAGUAAUUAUCAGCAAAAAUAAAUAAAUUAAAAAAAGAUAUUUCAUGAUUUACCUCAAUCCUUAUAUAAUACAAUCCAAGAAGCAUAACAAAACAACAAACUUAUCUGAACCUAGGCUUCAAUAGCACACUUUUCAUGACAAAUUAUGCAGCAAAUUCUACAUAAUUUAAUUACUUCACCAAAAACCUUUACAAUUCCUUACACACAUAAGUUCCAAAAUUCCCUUUCCAAAAUAUAUAGAUUCUAAAAAUAUUCCAGCACUACACCCCCCUAGACUUAAGUAGCAAAGUAGCAGUUUACCUUAGUAUAGAGGGUCCAAAAUAAUAAAUAUCUGAAAGGAACUUAACAACUGAAGAAUUUUUCAAGUCCCCUUUAGAAGCAUAGGCUUUGUUAGAUGGUUAUACAGGGACUUAUCAUGCAGUUUUUAUCUGGCUUGUACUUUAUUGUUACAUGCUCAUUAGGUUAGCUAAUUAUUGGUUUUAUAUAAGGGGUAUCUCCUUUAAUUUUCUUAAUAUUUUGCAGACAAAAAAACUGAAGAAUUUUUAGUUAUUUCCCUUUAAUUGGCCAUUGUUAAAGGCUAACAGAAAUGUAUGUAAAAGGGCCUCCUAGUUUAGUCCUUAAUUAACACUGUUAUCUUCUUCAUUUUGGCCGCAGCUACUAAUCCUCAAUAAUAUCUUCCUUUAAUUAUAAUAAAACAAAGAAAACACAAAACCUAUUUAUCGUCCAUGACAUAACCUUAAUUUUGACCCCAAUUGUUACUGGUUACUGGCUAUAAUAACAAAUGGGUGGACUUUGAGACUUGUUUCGAUUAUUUUUCCUAAACAAACAUAUAAUUGAUUAAGUGUAGAGUUAUACAAUUUUCCAUAGUUCAAUACUUACAGCUCACAAUACCCUUAAUUUUGACUUAAAUUGAUUAUUUUUUAUUAAAUAGUCAUCUUAAUUAUAAUUCUAAUUAAACUAAAUGAAUGUUUUAGUUUAAUUUGGAUAGUUUUUACGAUUUUUUAUAAUAAAAUUGUUAUUUUAAACAAAUUUUCUUACAAAACUUUAUUGAACAUUUAAUAAUGAAAAUUUGUGAAAUAGAAAAUAGAGAAAUAUGUUGCAAAUUAUUGUCAUUAUAUUCAUAAUUUUUUUUUAUAUUUGUAAAUAAAUUGUAUAACUUUUUUAUGGUUUAACAUUAUAAUACAAAUUUACUACUUUUUUAAUUUUCAAUAUAAUAAAAUUAGUGUAAAUAAAAUAAAACCAUAAAACAACUUUAGAAGACAUAGUUAGGUAGGUUUGUUAGUUGUUAAUUAUAAUUAACUUUAAAUAUACACUACUAUAUAUUAUCCUGUUAAAAAUGGGAUAAUGGGAUGAGACGAACUAACUUGACACACUAGAAAUUUUGACACUAUAUAUAUAACCACGUUUAAUUACCUUAUAUUGAGUUAUAUACUUGAUAUUACUAAAUUAGAAGUGAUUAUUUUAUUAUAUAAAAAAUCCGAUAUUUUAUUCCUCAUAAAAUUAAUUUUGCAUUAUCCUACUAAUUAUUUUGUAAUUUCCACAUUUUUUAUUGUGUAUAUAAAUUAUUGUGUUUUGUAUAUAAAAGUCUUAAACCUUUUUUAAAAAACUGAGAAGUGGGACAGUGAAAUGAAGUAAAAGAAAUUAUGAGCCAGAAUCAAAUUAUUCAACAUUAAAAAAAAAUUAUUAAAUACAAAAUAAUUUUAAAAAUUAAAAUAAUUAAUUAUUAUAUUAAUUAAAUUAGAGAUUAUUUUAUAAAUUAAAAAAAUUAUUAGUAUCUAAAAUAUUUUUUAUUGUUAAUAAAAAUUUAUAAAGUAACUUUUAAAUUGAUAUGCAAUCAUUAGCUAACAAGUUUAUCUAUUAACUACUUUAUAUUCAGUAUUUUUAAAAAUAUUUUAUAAUCUAAAAUAUUAGUAGAUAAAAGUUUGGUAACUAAUUUAUAAACUAUUUUAUAAAUGUUUAUUAGUAAUAGAAAUUACUUUAGAUACCAAUAAUUUUUUAGUCUAUGAAAUAGUAUCUAAUUUAAGACUAAUUAUUUUUGUUUCUAAAUUUAAUUAUUAUUUAAUGAUUUUCUUGUAGUGAAAGUUUUGAUAGCCCAUUUAUCAUGUGAAAAAACCAUUUUUCCUUAAAAAAUAUAUUUGAGAUUCCAAAAAUGUAUUAUUUUCUAUUUACACCUCUCCAAUUGUAGAAUCUUAAAAUUCUUUUUGGAUAGAAAAAUAUCUUUCAAAUUUUAUAAUCCAAAAUAUAUAUUUUUCUUUAAAAAAAAUACAUUCUCAAAUAUAAAUCGGAAAGUACCUUUUUGAAUUCUUCAAUUCGGAUUUUUUUUUCUUUAAAAAAAUAAUUUUUUGGAUUACAAAAUUAGUAAAGUAUUUUACCUUUCACAUUUUAUAAGCUCUCGGAUUCCAUAAUCUGAAAUAUAUUUUUUUUUAAAGAAACACACUCUAAAAUAUAGAAUUCAAAAGGGACUUACAAUCCAAAAAUAUCUUUUGAAUUCUAUUAUUUGAAUUUGUUCAAUCACUCCUUCCAAAAAGGAAAACAUCAAUAAAAUAAAGGGUAUUUUUUAUAUUUUAAAAGCAUGGGGUGCAAGAGAAAUUAUGGAGGUGCAGGAAGAAACAAUCCAUUUGAUAUACAAAUUGGACUAAAAGAAGUGGUUGAAGGGCCCAAUUUGUUAACUGUUGACGAAAGCAACUAAAUUUAAUCAAAGCCCAGUUGAGUGUUUGAGUCUCAAUGUAAUAAUGAAAACAUGGAAGUUUGUAUGGAGGAAAAUGAAGGAGUUUGAGCAACUCAACCAUAGAUGUACUUUUUUUAGGUCAGUGUUGGAGUCCCCCAUCACCAACACAUCCAAAACAAUUGAAGUACAAGUGCCACUGUCAAUUCUACCAUCAUCAAACUCAGAACCAUAACACAACAAUUUUUUACUAUUUUUCACAAUUUCAGAUGAGACAACCUUUUUCCUUGUCUUUUUUUAGUUUUAGAGAAAUAAGCUUCAAAUGUUGCAUGAUAAAAAAUGACCAAGACAUAAAAGAAUCAUUAAAAUGCAAGAUUAGGUUAAACUCAUUAAGCAUGGUUAGAUGAGACCUAGUUUAGGGUUAAGUUUGAGAAGAUUUGAAGAAUGAUAAGAGAGAAGAGAGAGAAGGUGUGUGUGGGGGUCUGCACUGAGUCAAGCAAACAAGCUCAGCCUUUUUGUCUGCAACAAUUAUGUAAACUAGACUUUAUAGAGUAGAACAGAGUAGAGUGUUUAGGUGAUUAAUGCAUAACAAUUCUGCCCUUUUUUCAUUGUCUUCUCUUGCCUUAUUCAUGGACCCAACUUUAGCCCAACCACAUGUUCUGCUUCCCCAACAAAACAACCUUAUCUCAAUGUAGAAUAAUGUAAUUGUACAUACAAAUUCUUUAUUGUUUCAGUACAAAUCCACUUACAAUUCUAUUCUUUCUAUGCUUUUUCAUUGGUUUGGUUUAAGAUAUAAAACUCAUUGCACUCAAUUAAAUACAACCUUUCUUCAUGUCUUUCCUCUACCUUUUUAAAUACUAUCAUGCAUUUCUAUAAAUGUUGAUAACAGGAUGAAGUUCAAUUAUAUUGGUAACUUCAAAUUUUUUUUAUUUUAUCGAGUAGAUAAAUACUAACAGAUCAAAAUUUUAAUUAUAAUAAAUGUAGUUGUACAUCUAUCAUAUGUAGUUCUACAUGACAUAUUUUUUAAUAAUACGUUUGUCCACACAAAAACACAUUUAUGUAUAUCUAUUGUACUAUUUAUUACAACUUGAAUGUAUAUUUUCUAAAGGAAUUAAUUCAAUGGUAUAUUAUAAAAUGGUUUAACAUAGGUCGCAUGGUGAAUGUAAUUAUAAAAUAGUAUUUGUUCCAUCUAAAAUGGGAAAUUGUAUUGGUUACAUCUGAAACGUGAAAAGUGAAGAUAUAUACAUUAAAAAAAAUCACUAAAUAGAAACUAAUUUUAGAAAUAAAAAAUAAUUAAUUAUUAUAAUGAAUAAAUUAAAAAUCAUUUUAAAGACUAAAAAAAUUAUUGUUAUAAUGAAUAAAUUAAAAAUUAUUUUAAAGACUAAAAAAAUUAUUGGUUUAUAAAUUAGUUUAUAUUAUUGAUAAAUAGUUUUUAAAUUUGUAUCUAAUUAACUAUCAAGAUUUAACUACCAUUUAUUUAGAUUCUAAAUUUGGUAGCAAAAAUCUUGGUAGCUAAUUAGAUACGAAUUUAAAAAUUAUUUAUCAAUAAUAAAAACUAAUUUAGAAAAAAAAUAGUCUCUAAUUUAGUAAAUAUAGCAACUAAUUAUUAUUAUUUUUUCUAAAAUUGGUUUCUAUUCAAGAAUUUUCUUACAGUGAUAUAUGACAUUAAUUAUGGUAGAGGAUUAAGGAUCAUGUAAAUAAAUUUCAUAAUAGAAAGAUAAUCUAUUGUUCUUACACAUAUAUCAUUUGAUGUGUUAAAAGUUUAAAUUAACUUUGCACCGGCUAGUUAAGAUAAAAGAGUUUUACCAACAAAUAUCAGCUUAUUCUAUCUUGAUGAAAUAUUACUUAUUUAAAUUUUCGAGAUUAAACCUCUAAGUACGUAUAAUUAAACCUACAUAUUUCAAAGCAACGAAGUUAGAAAACACUUUAUUGUCACACACAUAUAAUAGAUGUAACCUUUAUUUGAAUAUUAGAGUUUUGUCAUUGUCACUCCAAUGUCUCUUUCUUUUGUUUAUCUGUUUGUUUUCUUUUCUUUUCUUUUGCUUAUAGCAAAAGUUAACACGAAUGCAUUUAUUUCGAUUUAAACUCUAAUUCUUGUAAUUUGAUUCCAACGAAUUGGAAGUUUUGAUGGUCAUUUUUCAUGAGAUAUGUAUGUUGAAAGGAUAAUCCCUCAAGGUGAUUUGUAAAAACAUUAAUUUUGUAAGUUACAUUUAGAAGUUCGCUAAUGGAGUAUAAUAAAAAGAACUUAAUCAAGUUUAUCUUAAAUUUUGUAAGAAAAAGGACUUGAGUUUAUGGGUUGUGAUAUACAGAUUAUACAAAUUAAUUUGUUGACACCUCAACGAUAUAAUAUUAAUUUAGUUGGUCUAAAGUUCAUAGUGAUUUUCUUUAAACACUUAGAUGAGUGAAACAUGUUUUACUUGUGAUUAUUUUAACAUGUGCUUUAUGCAAACUUAAUAUUUCUAUAGUUCAUCUAAUUGUGUUAUGAAGCUCUCCAUGCAAACUUUAUUUUCUAAAACUCGGAUUGUUUGACCAUAUUAGAAAACUCUCCACUUCGUUAGAUGAAGUUGUUUUGCACAGUUUUUUAAAAAAAAUGAAUUAGACAUAGCCUUGGGUUCGUUUUUUCUUUAAAAUCCAUUAAACAAAGCAUUAAACGAAGUCUUCCUUUAUCUAUACUUUUGUAGUUCGUUGCACAACGAGUUAGAUACUACAUCUCAAAAUGAAGUAUCUUUUAUCAUCAAACAUAUAUUACUAACUUAAAUUCAAAACAUGUAUAAUAGAAUAUUAAAUAAUAUAAUAAUACAAAUGUGAUUUAAAACAUCAUAUUGAAAAGAAAGUAUUCUUUUACUUGUUUAAUAAGAACGACUACUAUUUAGUAUGUUAUAAAUGAAUGAAGUGAAUGUUUCAUUUCAAGAAACAAUAAUAUUUUGAGUACAUUGAUGAAUAUAUGUUAAUUUUAUUUUAUUUUGUCUCAAUUCAGUUAACAAUUUGAUUUUGUAAUUAUGUCUUUCAAGUGAUGAUGACAUGGUUUGAGGGAUUUGUAUGUGGUAGGAAUUUAAAAGUUAGGUUAGAACUUUAACAUUUUAUUUGGUAUUCACACUAUAGAAUUCCUCACUCGAACCAUGAUGAAUAGUUUUAAAUAGAAAAACAUUAGAUUCAGCACUCAAAUAUUUUUUUUAAAACUCAAUUGAGUAAGAAACCAAAUUAAUCUUAUCUUCUCUAAAAGUUUUGGUUCUUCAAAGUUCCUUGAAACACUUAGCAAACUAAAUCAUUUUUUUUUCCUCUAAUAAAAUAUCAUUCAAGUAUUGAUUUUUGUAGCUUUUACAAAAAAAAAAGUUAAUGUUUAUUAUCUCCUUUCUUAAAUGAUUAAUAUGUUAGUUUAAGAUAACAAUGAAAGAAUGAUGUGUUGUAGUAAUAUUGUUGUAUUAAUUGGGAUUACAUCGUAUGAGUAUAAAUUGAGUAAUAUGUUGAUAGAUUUAGAUAAGAAAUAUUUGAUACAUAGGAUGAUAUUUUAGGCAAGUUGUAUUUUUUUUAUUAGCAAGAAACAACUAAAAUAAAUUGGUCCACUUAAGAAGUGUCCAACCCUCAUAUAGAGUAAGAAUGAACAAAAGUAUAUUUUCAACUACACAAUUAAAAUCAUAAAGAGUUUAUCUCCUACUGCCUUCCCCAACACUACCAACUAAAGAAGAAUCAUUAAAUUGAAUACAUACAUAAUGAUUCUAAACAUCACUCAGAGAACGAAAAAUUCACUAAGGGUAUCUUUGAAACGAUUCAAGACCAAACAUUAACCUGUAAUAGGAAAAAACUUCAUAAAACAAGUUGUAUUUUAUGAUACUAAAUUUUAGAUUCUAUUAAUAAUUUUUAGUCAAAUAAUAACUAAUUAAUUUUUGUUCGUAUGUAUUAAGAUAUUAAGCGAUAAUAAAUUUUUGCAAUUUGUAGAGGUGAAAUGUGAAUAUGAAAGAGUUUAUGAAUGUAUUAAAAAAUUUAGAAUAUUUAAUUAAAUAAUGUGUGUAUGCAUAAUUAUGAGUUAUGAUUCAUUGAAUUACUUUUAAAUUUGUUUUAUGAUUAACCAUUUUUAUAAUCCUUCUUAAUUAACAUCUCCAUGUUUAUUAUGUGUAUGUAUAUCUACAGUAAAAAACAAGUUACAAUAAUUAGUAAUAUGAUAUUUCAGACUUCUAACGAACCACUAAUAAAUUAGUCUUCUAGAUGCAACUAAAUAUUUUCUUAAACAAACCAUAUUAUAAAUACAAGUUGUGUCUGAAUAAAAAAAAAAUAACAAGAGUAGAGUUUUAUCUGUGUUGUUAACGUAAAGAAAUACAAAACAAAACCUGCACAUACCUGGUCGUUACAUAUUCCAACAACAAGGGUAAAAACCUGCAAAUCGAUCCACACAAAGCAUCCUUACUUUCAAUUUGUCACAUGAACACAUCUUAGAAUGAUUCCAAACAAAAUUAAAACUCUUGCAAGAUCAAAACUCUGCACUGAUCCACUGUUUGAGAGAAAGGUAUCCAAAGUUAUGAAGACUCAGAAAAUAUAUUUGUUUUUUUCCUAACUGAUCACUCAGAUCUCAAGGAGAAUGUAGUAGAAUGGUAGAUGAAGAGUUGAAUCCCAAGAGUUAAACAAUAUUCUCAGAUCUUCAUCUUGAAGGAAGGAAAAAAAAAAAAAAAAUUGGUUGGUUGGUUGCAUCUGCUGCAUGCAUUCCAUGGAAGAAGAGACCAAUGGACAAGGAAAGAGACAGGCGUUUGAGUUGCCCAAGUUUUCUAGCAAGUGCAUGUGUAUUAUUAUACCAGGAGUGGUAUAAAAAUUAUUAUAAUAGAAUAUUAUAAUAAUAAAAAAUAAAAAGAAAAUUGAUGAAUGUUGGAAAGAGGAGGAGCAUAAGGGAGAGAAGAUAAAGAACACGCGCCGGGUGGAUGUAUGCAUGGGGUGAGUGAGUGAAUGAGGAGUGGGACCCGCAGGGAAUGAAAAGGAGAAAGAGAAGCGCGUGAGUAGAUGAAAAACACGACAAGAAGAAGAACAGGAAGAGGAACAUAGAACAAGAAGUACCCAGAUUGAGAUUUGGAUUGAAUUGUGAGUAGUGUGACCUUUGC
Molecule: long non-coding RNA, 8532 nt
Filed under: Phaseolus vulgaris (common bean)
Lineage: Eukaryota; Viridiplantae; Streptophyta; Magnoliopsida; Fabales; Fabaceae
Description: long non-coding RNA (PVUL_LNC001835)
Source: RNAcentral